This 83-nucleotide transfer RNA is filed under the name Monoplex parthenopeus. RNAcentral's name for it is "tRNA-Arg". The record is from RNAcentral. Lineage: Eukaryota; Metazoa; Mollusca; Gastropoda; Littorinimorpha; Ranellidae.
UUAUAAGAACGUGUGAAAAGCGAGAAAUUUGCAUUCGGUUUCGGCCCGUAUCUUAGGGGUGAAAGUCCCUUUUCAUAUGUAAA